RNAcentral lists this ribosomal RNA (430 nucleotides) under uncultured bacterium. Its description in RNAcentral is "bacterial SSU rRNA". It matches the Rfam family "Bacterial small subunit ribosomal RNA", at positions 28 to 478 of the family's 1533-position model. The record is from RNAcentral.
GAUGAACGCUGGCGGCGCGCCUAACACAUGCAAGUCGAACGGCACCCCUCUCCGGAGGGAAGCGAGUGGCGAACGGCUGAGUAACACGUGGAGAACCUGCCCCCUCCCCCGGGAUAGCCGCCCGAAAGGACGGGUAAUACCGGAUACCCCGGGGUGCCGCAUGGCGCCCCGGCUAAAGCCCCGACGGGAGGGGAUGGCUCCGCGGCCCAUCAGGUAGACGGCGGGGUGACGGCCCACCGUGCCGACAACGGGUAGCCGGGUUGAGAGACCGACCGGCCAGAUUGGGACUGAGACACGGCCCAGACUCCUACGGGAGGCAGCAGUGGGGAAUCUUGCGCAAUGGGGGGAACCCUGACGCAGCGACGCCGCGUGCGGGACGGAGGCCUUCGGGUCGUAAACCGCUUUCAGCAGGGAAGAGUCAAGACUGUAC